CCAAUAGCGUAUAUUAAAGUUGUUGCAGUUAAAAAGCUCGUAGUUGAAUUUCGGGAUUGACACAUCGGUCGUGCCUUAAGGGGUAUGAACUGGUGUAGUCAAUUUCUCACCUUCUGGAGAACCACGAUGCCCUUAAUUGGGUGUCGCGGGGAACCAGGACCUUUACUUUGAAAAAAUUAGAGUGUUUAAAGCAGGCAUUUUGCUUGAAUACAUUAGCAUGGAAUAAUAAAAUAGGACGGCAUGAUUCUAUUUUGUUGGUUUCUAGGAUCACCGUAAUGAUUAAUAGGGAUAGUUGGGGGCAUUAGUAUUCAAUUGUCAGAGGUGAAAUUCUUGGAUUUAUUGAAGACUAACUACUGCGAAAGCAUUUGCCAAGGAUGUUUUCAUUAAUCAAGAACGAAAGUUAGGGGAUCGAAGACGAUCAGAUACCGUCGUAGUCUUAACCAUAAACUAUGCCGACUAGGAAUCAGACGAUGUUAAUUUUUUAAUGACUCGUUUGGCACCUUACG
RNAcentral lists this ribosomal RNA (506 nucleotides) under uncultured Glomeromycotina. RNAcentral describes it as "partial small subunit ribosomal RNA". It matches the Rfam family "Eukaryotic small subunit ribosomal RNA", at positions 591 to 1092 of the family's 1831-position model. Lineage: Eukaryota; Fungi; Glomeromycota. The record is from RNAcentral.